GUCUCCAUAGCUCAGUGGUAGAGCAUGCGAUUGCAGUAAUCUGUAGGUAUAUGAUCCAUCGCAGGGUCAGGUGUUCAAACCACCUUGGGGACU
RNAcentral lists this transfer RNA (93 nucleotides) under Laccaria bicolor S238N-H82. It matches the Rfam family "tRNA". From Rfam's summary of the family: Transfer RNA (tRNA) molecules are approximately 80 nucleotides in length. Lineage: Eukaryota; Fungi; Basidiomycota; Agaricomycetes; Agaricales; Hydnangiaceae. The record is from Rfam by way of RNAcentral.